CUACGGGAUGCAGCAGUUAGGGAUAUUCGGCAAUGGGGGAAACCCUGACCGAGCAAUGCCGCGUGAACGAAGAAGUAUUUCGAUAUGUAAAGUUCUGUUGUUAAGGAAGAAAGGUGUAUAUAGGGAAUGAUAUACAUAAGACGGUACUUAACGAGGAAGCCCCUGCUAACUACGUGCCAGCAGCAGCGGUAAUACGUAGGGGGCGAGCGUUAUCCGGAAUUAUUGGGCGUAAAGGGUGCGUAGGCGGCACAUUAAGUCUGAGUUGAAAGCCCACGGCUUAACCGUGGAGGGUGCUUGGAAACUAAUGUGCUUGAAUCCAGAAGAGGCAAGUGGAAUUCUAUGUGGAGCGGUGGAAUGCGUAGAUAUAUGGAGGAACACCAGUGGCGAAGGCGGCUUGCUGGGCUGGUAUUGACGCUGAGGCACGAAAGCGUGGGGAGCAAACAGGAUUAGAUACCCUUGUAGUC
RNAcentral lists this ribosomal RNA (464 nucleotides) under uncultured bacterium. Its description in RNAcentral is "partial 16S ribosomal RNA". It matches the Rfam family "Bacterial small subunit ribosomal RNA", at positions 339 to 795 of the family's 1533-position model. The record is from RNAcentral.